Molecule: non-coding RNA, 31 nt
Filed under: Rattus norvegicus (Norway rat)
Lineage: Eukaryota; Metazoa; Chordata; Mammalia; Rodentia; Muridae
Source: RNAcentral
UGAGACAGGCCUUGGACAUGGAGUAUUUCGU